GUCUAUAGGCUUUGGUUAACUUAGAAGUAUAUUCAUUCAACAUUUAUUGAAUGCCUAUGAUGUUUAGAUCUAUGUACAAGAGAAGAGAAAAAUGAAUAACACAAAGACUUUACCUAAUACAUAGAUCAUUGUGUGCUUUUGUAGGCUGAGCAAAAAUAAUUUUGACAAAAUGGCCCAGUGUGCAGAAGCUUGUUGUCCUCCAUAGUCAAAACAUGGUCUUUCAGGCCAUGUAUUAAAAAGCAAGUGAAAUAGCACUGCCAUGAAAGACCAAAGGACAAUGGGGCUGUUCCAGAGACCUGUUUAGAAAAGUUGCUGUCUGGGCAGUUUUUGUUCAGUAGCUGCAUGCAUGGUUAAUGACCCAUGCAAUCGUGGACCUUGACAAAGUAAACAAUUUCUCAACAAUAUCUCCAAAAGACUAGACAGAAUUGUUCAACUUCUGUAACUAAAAGUGGAAUUUGAAGUGGUAUAACAUUAUCUGAGUAGUAUGAAUUAAGACCUUCGAAAACUGUAGUUCCAAUUUCUCAGUUAUCUUUUGUAGAACACCCAAGGAGAAGGGCACAUUCACAUCUCAGGCUGUUCAACCUACAAAAUAAGAGAACUAGUUGGCAUGAUACAAUCCUAUAAAGAAUUCCAUUCUGGAAAAGUAGUAAUGAGAUGAAAGAGACAUAAAACAGCUGGCAUGACACCGAAACUUUCCCUUGGCCACUGCUGCUCCCCACUCCAAACCUGUCAAGCUCAGCACAACUCACGUGUACAAACCAUUCCUCAGAAAUGGCCAAGCAACCUGCUAGCAUGUGCAUAUCAUUUAGUCACAGGUUCCCUUGGAGGAAAAAACUUAAAAUGAUUGGUCACGAGAAGUAUGCUGACCCACACCUCUGCAGUUUCUCAAGACAGCAGUCAUUCCUCACUUGUUCUCAACUGGAGAACUUAAGAUACUCCCUCUUAAGAAACUGAAUAAAAAUGAAAAUACACUGGCAAGAGCUGAACCAAUGCUGAAGGUCCCACAAAGAGAGGGAUCAUAACUGGUCACCAUUGAUUACUAUGGUAUCUGGCAUGGAACAGGCACCUAAUAAAUAUGUGUUAAUAACACAUGAAUGAAAUAAUAUAUAGAACUGAAUCAUACAGGGAAGGACUGUAGAUGGAAAUUCAUUACUUCAUCAAGUCAAUUUUGACCAGGACUUAGACUCUGGGUCAGCUGCUAUGUUCUAGUUAUUCCCCAGACUCAACUAAAACCUGGGAUUACAAGAAAUGCUCCAAUUUUACUAUUAUUUUUGUUCCACUAUUCAGGAAGGGGCAGAAUCUAAAUCUCUACUAGUCUUGUUCACCAAGCUAUACAAAAAAGAAGAAAUGAAAGAAAUAUUUGGCACACUAAUUGUCUUCUGUAAGAGAUAUUUUUUAGUUAUAAAAUGGAAAUAAAAUCAGUAGGAUAGUAUGUUAAAUAGUAUGUUAAAUACAAUUAAAGUAAUUAGCUCAAUGCUGGGGAAGAUAAAUACCUAAUAAGCAAUUAGUGUUAUUAAUAAAAGCAGCAAACAAUUUGA
Molecule: long non-coding RNA, 1538 nt
Organism: Leopardus geoffroyi (Geoffroy's cat)
Lineage: Eukaryota; Metazoa; Chordata; Mammalia; Carnivora; Felidae
Exons: 4
Source: RefSeq, a predicted model, not a curated record